AUCGAACGCUGGCGGCAGGCCUAACACAUGCAAGUCGAGCGGAGCUGCGGACGGGUGAGUAAUGCCUGGUAAUCUGCCUGUUAGUGAGGGAUAACGUCCGGAAACGGGCGCUAAUACAGCAUACUAUCAGAUGAGCCUAGGUCGUAUUAGCUAGUUGGUGGGGUAAAGGCUUACCAAGGCGACGAUCCGUAACUGGUCUGAGAGGAUGAUCGGUCACACUGGAACUGAGAAACGGCCCAGACUCCGACGGGAGGCAGCAGUGGGGAAUAUGGGACAAUGGGCGAAAGUCUGAUCCAGCAAUGCCGCGUGGGUGAAGAAGGUCUUCGGAUUGUAAAGCACUUUAAGUUGGGAAGCGUUACCUAAACAGUAAGCACCGGCUAACUUCGUGCCAGCAGCCGCGGUAAUUC
RNAcentral lists this ribosomal RNA (407 nucleotides) under uncultured bacterium. RNAcentral describes it as "partial 16S ribosomal RNA". It matches the Rfam family "Bacterial small subunit ribosomal RNA", at positions 30 to 526 of the family's 1533-position model. The record is from RNAcentral.